RNAcentral lists this unclassified non-coding RNA (391 nucleotides) under soil metagenome. RNAcentral describes it as "partial contains 5.8S ribosomal RNA, internal transcribed spacer 2, and large subunit ribosomal RNA". The stretch from base 1 to 122 matches the Rfam family "5.8S ribosomal RNA", at positions 35 to 154 of the family's 154-position model. The record is from RNAcentral.
GAUGAAGAACGUAGCGAAAUGCGAUACUUGGUGUGAAUUGCAGAAUCCCGUGAACCAUCGAGUCUUUGAACGCAAGUUGCGCCCGAAGCCAUAAGGCCGAGGGCACGCCUGCCUGGGCGUCACACGUCGUUGCCCCCCCAUCUACUCCUUCGGGAUUGCGGGGGGCGGAUGAUGGCCUCCCGUGCGCCUCGCCGCGCGGUUGGCAUAAAUGACAAGUCCUCGGCGACGCACGCCACGACAAUCGGUGGUUGCGAAACCUCGGUUGCCCGUCGUGUGCGGUCGUCGCGCAUCGAGGGCUCGAAAAAAUUGCCGGGUUCCGGCUCGGCUUUCAACGCGACGCCAGGUCAGGCGGGGUUACCCGCUGAAUUUAAGCAUAUCAAUAAGCGGAGGA